This 492-nucleotide ribosomal RNA is filed under the name uncultured bacterium. RNAcentral describes it as "partial 16S ribosomal RNA". It matches the Rfam family "Bacterial small subunit ribosomal RNA", at positions 29 to 507 of the family's 1533-position model. The record is from RNAcentral.
AGUGAACGCUGGCGGUAGGCCUAACACAUGCAAGUCGAACGGCAGCACAGUAAGAGCUUGCUCUUACGGGUGGCGAGUGGCGGACGGGUGAGGAAUACAUCGGAAUCUACUUUUUCGUGGGGGAUAACGUAGGGAAACUUACGCUAAUACCGCAUACGACCUACGGGUGAAAGCAGGGGAUCUUCGGACCUUGCGCGAUUGAAUGAGCCGAUGUCGGAUUAGCUAGUUGGCGGGGUAAAGGCCCACCAAGGCGACGAUCCGUAGCUGGUCUGAGAGGAUGAUCAGCGACACUGGAACUGAGACACGGUCCAGACGCCUACGGGAGGCAGCAGUGGGGAAUAUUGGACAAUGGGCGCAAGCCUGAUCCAGCCAUACCGCGUGGGUGAAGAAGGCCUUCGGGUUGUAAAGCCCUUUUGUUGGGAAAGAAAAGCAGCAGGUUAAUACCCCGCUGUUCUGACGGUACCCAAAGAAUAAACACCGGCUAACUUCGUG